AAUGAACGCUGGCGGCAGGCCUAACACAUGCAAGUCGAACGGAUCCUUCGGGAUUAGUGGCGGACGGGUGAGUAACGCGUGGGAACAUACCCAAAGGUACGGAAUAGCCUCGGGAAACUGGGAGUAAUACCGUAUGUGCUCGAAAGAGGAAAGAUUUAUCGCCUUUGGAUUGGCCCGCGUUGGAUUAGGUAGUUGGUGGGGUAAUGGCCUACCAAGCCGACGAUCCAUAGCUGGUUUGAGAGGAUGAUCAGCCACACUGGGACUGAGACACGGACCAGACUCCGACGGGAGGCAGCAGUGGGGAAUCUUAGACAAUGGUGGAAACCCUGAUCUAGCCAUGCCGCGUGAUCGGUGAAGGCCUUAGGGUUGUAAAGAUCUUGCAGGUGGGAAGAUAAUGACUGUACCACCAGAAGAAGCCCCGGCUAACUCCGUGCCAGCAGCCGCCGUAA
RNAcentral lists this ribosomal RNA (449 nucleotides) under uncultured bacterium. RNAcentral describes it as "partial 16S ribosomal RNA". It matches the Rfam family "Bacterial small subunit ribosomal RNA", at positions 29 to 523 of the family's 1533-position model. The record is from RNAcentral.